This 226-nucleotide long non-coding RNA is filed under the name Lathyrus oleraceus (garden pea). RNAcentral describes it as "Pisum sativum (pea) long non-coding RNA (PSAT_LNC006790)". The record is from RNAcentral. Lineage: Eukaryota; Viridiplantae; Streptophyta; Magnoliopsida; Fabales; Fabaceae.
AAACUUCUUAGAUGUUCACCUCAUGAGAUCAUAUGUAGAUGAUCCAAGUGGUUCCUUUGGAAUAGGCAAUGAGCAAUAAGCAAAUAAACAAAACAAAUGGAUACCGGAUGCCAAUCAAUGGACUUACACCAAUCUCACAAAACAAACUGGAUACCGGAUACCAAUCAAUGGAUUUAUACCAAUCUCCUAAAAUAAAACAUGGAUAUCAGAUGCCAAUCAAUGGGCU